AAAAACUCAUCUCUCUCAAACCCCUCUCAACUUUAGCCGCCGAGCCAUCACCGAAAAUCGUCUCUGCCGGUGGUUUAGCUCCAAAUCGCCCUGAAUUCUCACUAGAUAGUCAUCACCAUUCCCUCAUCCCUAAUCCACUGACCAUUUCUUCCAAAACCCAUCCAAAAUUCAUGAUUUUUGGAUCAGAAAUUCAAGGAAAAUCCAAAAUCGCCUUUUUCUCUUUAAUAUUUACCCGUUUAAAGGUUAAUGUUACACAAAAAGUCCAUAACGUUGACCAUUGACAUUUCGUGGUAGCUUCACUUUAUCUCAAGGCCUGGAACCCAGUCAACAUCACCGUUUACUCUCAUCUCGCCUUGCUCUCCCUUUUCCGGCCAGCAGGAUAUAUUGUCACACACAACACUGACUUACAUGGAGAAUUGGCUAGUGUUCGUGUGACAAUUUCUUUGGCUCGCUGGGGUUCUGCAUUUGAUCUCUUGAUUUGCUAGAUUUUGACGCAAUAGGUAUACCUCUCCUCUUUGUUCCUUUUUAGUUUCAAUUUGUUUCUUCAUAUUCAUCUCCCUCUUCUUCUUUUAUUUUGAUUUUAGUUAUUCUUUUUUUUUCUUAUUUCUGUUUAGGAAUUAGAUGUUUGAGUUGCUUUGCAUUAAUUUUUAUUUAUUUAUUUUAUAUAGCAGAUUCUAAUACUUAAAAAAUCUAGUCGAUUAGUAUGUGUUUUGUAUGUCUAUCUAAUAGUUCAGUUAUUGUUAAUUAGUUUAAUUGCAUGAGCUGUUAGUUUAAUCAAUUGUGAGUAAAUUAGAUGUUAAAAUAAGUUAUUUUGCACUUUUGCUUUGUUCUGAUCCGUAUGUUCCUAGCUAGGGUUCCCUUGUGUUUACCAAAGUUUAAGGGGGCAUUUGGGAAUUAGAAUUGAGUAGAAUCUUUUUCUUUUAACAACGGGAGAAUUCUAGAAUAGAGAUACGGGACCAAAAUGCAAUAAGAUGAGGAAGUUAGGUUAAAUUUGGGUUAAAAGGGGUCAAUUUGAGAAGUUAAGGGAGUAGAAGAAUAGGAAGGAAUUUUUGAAAUUGGACAGCUGUCCAUUUCAGUUGCAAAAGAUGCCAAUUCCCUGAAUUUUAGGGAAGUUGGCAGAAUAUUCCCACACCCCCUCUCCCUCACACAUAACACAUUCUCACAUUCUAUAAAAGGACUCCAACUCUUAUUUCACCAGACACAUUAUUUUCUACAUAUUCACUCACUCAAAAGAACAUUGAUAGAAACUGAAAUUUAAAAGAAAAGUUCUUAGUAUUCAACUUCAAAAAAAACAAAAAAACAAAACAAAAAAGGAGAUACAAAGUUGUUUUCAAAUUCUAGCAUAUUUGAUUGAUAUUUUGUGGGAUCUCAAAGGACUUUCAAGCUGUUAGGAUUGCUGUUUUUGCUGGGUUGAAAUCUGUUGCCUCUGCUCGCUGAACUUGACAUCAUCUCUUCUUCAUUUUUUCUUCCUUAACUGAUUCAUCUCAGAGCCUUUAUUUGGUUAUAUUAGAUUGUUGCCGCCUUUAGGUAUGUAAUUGUCCAAAACUGUAAUUCUCUGUUAGAGUUAAAAUAAAAACUGAGCUGUUAUGAUUUGUUUGUGUUUGGCUCUAUAGAUUAUGCAUGAUUUAGAUUUAAAGUGAAAGCUAAUAUGUUAUGUUUUGCUCAUAUUUAGUUGUAUUGGUUCAACAUAUUUUAGGUUUCAAAGUUGCUUGGAAUUCUUUUUCUGUUAAUUUGUGGUAUGACUGUAUAGUUAGAUAAAAACUCAAACUGCUGAAUGCUUGUUGGUAGUUCAUCACUUGAUGUUAGCGUGCUAUUCUUUAAAUUAAUAGUUUUUAUUUGAAGUGACAUUAGCAGUGACAAAUAUAUGUCUAAUUUGGUUGUUUCUUUGAUUGGUGGUUGUGUGCUACGACACUGAUUUGCAAAGCAAGCCCAAUGGCUAUGUUUACCUCGAAAAUAUGAGUAACAAUUAAAUUUGUUUUGUGGUUUUAAAGAUACGUGAUUAGAUUCAAUACCAAUUAAUAAUCAAGAAAUAUGAAGUAGAAAUGAAAGAAAUAAGUGAAUCAAACCAAUAUAAUUCAGUAGCAGUGACCUCGAACUUAGUGACCUCAAGGUGGGUUUAGAACAAUAAGAAUAGUUAAGCAAGAAAAGUAAAGUAAGAGCAGCAAAGCUAAAGGACAAUUCUAAUGAACAGUAGGCAAAAAGUAGAGAGUAUAUCUUUGCUUUAAUGAUUAGAUGGUCUUAUAAAUGAUUGGGGUCCCAUUUAUAUAAUAGGGGAACCCUAAAUAAGGUAUAUUUCUAUUUACAGUAAGGAAUAUUCUUCGUACAACUGUCUAACUGCCUAGUACAGAAUUGUAUGAUCCUAUUUCGAGUUUUGCGCCAUGAUUUUAGGAACGUGGCAGGAAUCUAGUUCAUUCUGUUGUAAAUCCAUAACGGUACUAUUUCGGGGUCGAGCAUACUAAGCCUUGGUACUCCUUGUACUCCUAUCUCUCGAGCAUUGCACUCUGUCUUUGAGCUCGAAUCUAGUCCACCGGGUUCGAAUCGACCUUGCCCGGACUUGGGCCUAGGAUGGACCUUCGAGCCUAUAAAUUGGAGGCCUCUGAUUUUAACCGUAUACAGAUAGUCCCCGCAUUUCUUAGAGUAGGUUGAUAAGAAAUGUAUUGAUCUUCGACACCUCGAUCCUGAUUCCAAUCUCGUGAUGUCAGUUGCUGAAGUGACUGAGAGGUUGCUUUUCGUACGAUUUCAAAGUCAUUAAUUGAAAGCAACUGGCGGUCGGCUUUUUAUCUUCCCCAGUAUGCUUAAAUUACCUCUAUAAAUAGAUCAACUUCACAAUCUUACAAACUUUAUUCUCACGUUGCUCUCAAAAUCUUAUUAGCUCUUUCAACUUCCCUGAAUUCUCCUUUCUCUUCUAUUUACUCUUACUUCAUCAUCAACCUUCUCUAUUUUUUUGAAUUUUUGCAUUACAAUGGCUAAGACAUCCAAAUCGGUUCCCCAAAAAUAAAAAGCUUCUUUAUCUUCUCAACUGACCAAGAGUAAAGCGGUAGUGCCUCCUCGUACUGAGGAGUGCAUUCCUCUACCGUGUGAAAUAACAUCCGAUUUCAAGAUCGAGAAACCUGUAUCAACACCAGGCCGAUGCGAGUCCAUGUCUCAAUAUGUCUGUUUGAUAACUGAGGACGAGCUCGAGCAAGUAAAGAAGAACUGCAAGUAGGAGAACAAAGACGUAGUGAUCCCUUCCCCCGAGGAGGAUAUCACUACAUAUAAAGCAAGGUACUUAAGCGUGUAUACUUACCCAUUCACACUGGGCCCUGCAAAUCCCACUCUGGGUCCCACAGAUCCAGUUAUUCUUGACUUUUGCCAACAAUACCAAGUGACACUUGGCCAAAUCUGCCUUUCAUUUUGGCGAAUCAUUCAUUUGAUAAGAUUCUUCUCAAACCAGAUCGAGGAUAUGCCUUUCACCCUCGACCAUCUGAUCAGGCUGUAUAGUCCUCGGCUUUAGCAAGGUGGCUUGAUAAAAUUACAACGUUGAUCCUCAAAAUCUCUCUUCUCCAAC
Molecule: long non-coding RNA, 3547 nt
Filed under: Nicotiana tabacum (common tobacco)
Lineage: Eukaryota; Viridiplantae; Streptophyta; Magnoliopsida; Solanales; Solanaceae
Description: long non-coding RNA (NTAB_LNC000883)
Source: RNAcentral